GAUGAACGCUGACAGAAUGCUUAACACAUGCAAGUCUUUGGCGAAGCUGUGCUUGCACAGCCUAGCCAAGGCGGACGGGUGAGUAACGCGUAAGGAACUUGCCCGGCAGUCAGGGAUAACAGACGGAAACGACUGAUAAGACCUGGUAAAGUCAGGCGGACUCAUGUCCAGCCUGAUGAAAAGAGAUGCUGCAGGAGAGCCUUGCGUCCUAUUAGCUUGUUGGUGGGGUAACGGCCCACCAAGGCGAUGAUAGGUAGCCGGCCUGAGAGGGUGGACGGCCACAAGGGGAAUGAGAUACGGCCCUUACUACUACGGGAGGCAGCAGUGGGGAAUAUUGGACAAUGGGGGCAACCCUGAUCCAGCAAUUCUGUGUGCACGAUGAAGGUUUUCGGAUUGUAAAGUGCUUUCAGAAGGGAAGAAAAAAAUGACGGUACCUGCAGAAGAAGCGACGGCUAAAUACGUG
This 463-nucleotide ribosomal RNA is filed under the name uncultured bacterium. RNAcentral's name for it is "partial 16S ribosomal RNA". It matches the Rfam family "Bacterial small subunit ribosomal RNA", at positions 28 to 507 of the family's 1533-position model. The record is from RNAcentral.